CGUCAGCCAGCUAACAGCCAUGUCUGUGCUGUGGUCCGCUGGAAGCUCCUAGGUGGAUUUAUCUCGCCGUCAGAUCUUUGUUGAUCCUGAAAGCUGGUGUGUUUUGGAGGAAGCCGACAGCCUGAUCGCGUCUCCGCCGCGAAGCAGAAGGAUGCCGAACAGAACAGCUGAUGGCGAGACUGUCGAGCCAUAAAAAGAGCAUCGGCGGGUGUUUCCACUGCCACUUUGUUUGAAAAUAAGAGACGCGUCGAUGUGAUUCCUCUCCGUCGUUUGGAUUUCGUUUAAACUCAAAAAUCCGCCCAGAUGAUGUCGGGAAAGCAUUUCAAGGCUCAGGAAGUGAGCUGCUGCAUCAAGUAUUUCAUAUUCGGCUUUAACAUCAUAUUCUGGUUCCUGGGAGUGACAUUCCUUGGCAUCGGGCUGUGGGCUUGGAGUGAAAAGGGUGUUCUCUCCAACAUCUCGUCCAUCACGGACCUGGGGGGCUUCGAUCCUGUAUGGCUUUUCCUCGUUGUGGGUGGUGUGAUGUUCAUCCUCGGUUUUGCUGGCUGCAUUGGAGCUCUACGGGAGAACUCGUUCCUGCUUAAAUUUUUCUCCGUGUUCCUGGGAAUCAUCUUCUUUCUGGAGCUGACUGCAGGAGUCCUGGCCUUUGUCUUCAAAGACUGGAUCAAGGACCAGCUUAAAUUCUUCAUCAACAACAACAUUCGGGCCUACAGGGAUGAUAUUGACCUGCAAAACCUGAUAGAUUUCACUCAGGAAUAUUGGGAGUGCUGUGGAGCUUUUGGAGCUGACGACUGGAACUUGAACAUCUACUUUAACUGCACCGAUUCAAACCCGAGCCGUGAGAAAUGUGGAGUGCCCUUUUCCUGCUGCACCAAAGAUCCCGCGGAGGACGUCAUCAACACCCAGUGUGGAUACGACAUCCGGGCAAAAACGGACUCUGAGCAGAGAACCUUCAUCUACAUCAAAGGCUGUGUCCCGCAGUUUGAGAAGUGGCUCCAGGAUAACCUAACCGUGGUGGCCGGCAUCUUUAUUGGAAUCGCAUUAUUGCAGAUUUUUGGCAUCUGUUUAGCUCAGAACCUUGUGAGCGACAUCGAAGCUGUGAGAGAAAGUUGGUGAGUGGUGUUUGUCUCAAUUUGUUUACCUAACAAACAGGAAGUUUUCAAAGACAAGAAGCAUGCAUCAGACUGUUUGGACUCUUAGCACCACCCGGACCAUUUAAUCUGCUGAGUUUCCAACAUUAAGAGACUCAUUCACAUGUAAAUAGUAAAUUAAGAGGUGGUUUCAGCAUUAUUUCAAGGGAAAAGCCACCUAUGAAAUGUGGUGUACCUUUGAUAUAACACAUAAAACCAUUUCACAGUAAAAUCAAUUUCAUUAAAAGCCUCAUUGAGAAAAUGAAGGUAAACAAGGGCGGACAUGGUGAGAUUCAAACAGACGGUGUAGAUGUUUUGUAGUUAGUUCUAUGGAAAGAAAGUUAACAUUUUAUAUUUUUCCUGUUGUUGAACAGCCUCCGUUUGGAAACAGAACUGUGAAUUUGGCAAAGUGAGAUUAUUCAUUGCUAAAGUUAGCAACAAGGCUAGCUAGCGAUAGCGCCUCUGGUUGAGUUUGUUACAUUUCCAGCUGGAUUAUUUGUAUAUUUCUGCUGGAAAAACCAUGUAUCAAACACCAUGAUGGUUUAUAAAGUAUAAACUGUUUUAUGAAUCACUAUGAAGUGUUACACUGCAGUAUUUUUUAGGAGAGCAACAUUAGCAUUAGCCGUUUCUCCAAACUGAGGUCAUUCACAUAGCCACCUACAACAGGUAAGAUGUUAGUCGUUUAUGCCGUGUCUAUUGAAAAUCCUUUCAAAACAUCUGAACUGUUUGCCAUUUAAAAGAAAUGAGAUUUUAGCUUUAAAGGUUUGGCUGCAGCAGGUUUUUACAGCUGCGUGUUACAGCUCUGGAAAUGCACUGCAUGCCUGGCGCCUACUUUGGCUCUCCUAAAGAUAUUGAAGUCAGAAUUUUGUAUUAUAGGUUUGAUCAUUUCCUGUCAGCUGGCUGGUACGCACUUUGUUCUAUAAAGCUACUGAGAUUGUGUGUAGAUUUGUAGAAAAUCACAAUUACAGAAGCAAAAAUAGUUGAGUUUUAUGGAGCUAAACCGUGACAAGGAGACAGAUGGGGUUGAUUUUGUUAUGUUGUGGUUUAAAGAGAUCAAAGGUCAGCCCGAAGCACUUUAAUCAUUAUUAAAGUGAUGUAGGUCAUUGCUGCCCAUGACAGACUGUUGAUAUUUCCUGAUGCAGUGCAACUCUCCCAGGUUUUGCACAUUUAAUCAGUGUUUUAUUUUAUUAUUUAAAAAUGUCUCUCAUGCUUUCUGUGGUUAAAUCUGCCUCUGAUGUUAAAAUGUCGUUAGCUAAUGAUGAUUUGUUGGAUUUCAAACAACGUUUUCAAGAGCCAAAACAAACUGCAUGCAUAUUCUUUUAGUAUCAUUCAGUCAAACGUGGAUAGAGGUCUCAGUCUAAUCACGCUCUGCAGGCUCAGUCACCAGCAGGCUUUUAUUCAUUGAGAUAGCGAUCUUAGCUAGCGUCACAAAGAUUUCAAGCCGCUGUUUACACUUUAAAGUCAUUUCAUAUGAAUGCAACGUUGGACCACGGUGGAUAUCCUUGUUUUCUUCCUUUGCAGCCAAAUCUUCUGCCUCCACGAUGGACUGAAUUGAAAAUCCUGAUAGGUUCUUUACCGACUCACAAUCAGAAAGUUUUAUAAACCAGCGAUGGUGUCGGAUAUCUUCAUUAUUUUCCGCGAAUAGUUUUUUUAUGAUUGCACUCUGUCUCUUUCACCGCCUAGUGCCAUAUUUGUGAUCACCUUAAACACCUACCUUCUGACUUUGUUUCACCUGUGCUUCUUAUUCCUGUAAAUAAUGACAGUUAAAAUAAAACGUAAGUAAACCUUC
RNA transcript from Nothobranchius furzeri (turquoise killifish), 2916 nucleotides. It is a transcript of the gene named tetraspanin-5, with no coding region annotated. Lineage: Eukaryota; Metazoa; Chordata; Actinopteri; Cyprinodontiformes; Nothobranchiidae. The record is from RefSeq and is a predicted model, not a curated record.